This 227-nucleotide ribosomal RNA is filed under the name uncultured bacterium. Its description in RNAcentral is "partial 16S ribosomal RNA". It matches the Rfam family "Bacterial small subunit ribosomal RNA", at positions 524 to 747 of the family's 1533-position model. The record is from RNAcentral.
UACGUAGGGGGCGAGCGUUGUCCGGAUUCAUUGGGCGUAAAGCGCGCGCAGGCGGUGGCGUGAGCCCGGCGUGAAAGCCCCCCAGCUCAACUGGGGGAGGCCGUCGGAGACCGCGGCACUUGAGGCCGGUAGGGGAGAGCGGAAUUCCCGGUGUAGUGGUGGAAUGCGUAGAUAUCGGGGAGGAACACCAGUGGCGAAGGCGGUUGCCUGGGGCUUUGCUGGACGCU